AAAAAUAAAAAUAAAAAUAAAAAGAGCUUCAAAAUACCUCGACAAAAUUUUGAAAAUGAAACGAAAAAAAGUGCAUCAAGCACAAGGUUAUGGAUGGAAAUAUUCGCAUGAUCGCUCAGAAUGUCUCAAAGGUUCAUACCCUUGAAUGGAACCAAACGCUAAUUCUCAAGAGGCAGAAUCCUGUCCCGUUGUGGUCGAUUGAGCCCACUGAUUUGAGAGGCUUGUUUGAUUAACCUUGAUCCGCGGGA
This 248-nucleotide long non-coding RNA is filed under the name Physcomitrium patens. Its description in RNAcentral is "long non-coding RNA (PPAT_LNC002292)". The record is from RNAcentral. Lineage: Eukaryota; Viridiplantae; Streptophyta; Bryopsida; Funariales; Funariaceae.